Molecule: non-coding RNA, 1545 nt
Organism: Peromyscus maniculatus bairdii (prairie deer mouse)
Lineage: Eukaryota; Metazoa; Chordata; Mammalia; Rodentia; Cricetidae
Source: RefSeq, a predicted model, not a curated record
UUUAUAAACAUGACUGCUCAUCUCUCUGGAACAUCUCACAGUAUUCUUCCCCUGCUGCAAAAGCCAAGUCAUUUCAUUAAGGGCACUUAAGGAAGAAAUGAUCUCACCCACCAUGCCCGGCUUAUUUUUCUCUCCUUACAACUUCCGGAAGACUGGCUUUCCUGUCCCCUUCUCCUUGGCUUCCUGUCACCCUUUCUCCUAAGCCUCCCUCUAGUUCUUCUUUUACAGGAGGAAAAGCUUGGUUCACCCACACAGCACUUUGUACUUGAGUUUUUCACUCAACGUUCUGGAAAGGUUUUGUACAGUACAAACGCCACACCAUGAUGACGUGAUUGAGCUCAGAAACGCUCAGCCAUUUCAGGCUCCUGACACUACAGCACUGUUCUUUUGUCAUCCCAGAGGCCCCUUGCUUUGUUAGCAUCAUCUGUCUCCUGCUCCAGUUCUCGCCACUCCUCCUGAUGGUGACCAGUCCAUCUCCCUAGUUCCCUUAGACCCAGCAGGCUCUUGCCUAGGACUACCACAUCUACUGCAGUUCCUACCUUGCCAACUGGUUCAUCCUUUAAGAAACAGCUCAUAUAUCACUCGUUAAUCACUACAGUAUCCAAACUGUUAGACACCCUCUCUCCUGAACUUUUGUGCUGUCUCAGUAUUAGAGGCAAAACCAACUUGUUGGGUGAAUGAGCAAACUAUGGAUGCUGUGCUUUCUUGACUACUAAAUCAAUUUUUUUUUUGUGCAAAAGAUCCCACUCAGUCUUCCAGUUAGUCCAUGGAAUAACUACAUUUCUACUUUCUGCAAGCUGCUUUGCUAGGGGAAAGACAGUGGAGACAGAAGGAAGAGAAGACUCUGCUCUCACAGAACUCUUCUGCCCAGAAAUGCAGAUGACCAAAGCAAGUGCUGGGGAUGAAAGAGGAAAGAAUGAAGGAAAACCACCCCAGAAGGUGUUAGGAUGAUGUUCCCUAAGCACAUUUACUUAAGAGCUCAGGGAGAUGCCCAUCUUUGUUGGGAGCUGGAGAUUUCCUACACAAUUGAAAAAGACUUGUACGCACUAUGAUCCAAAAUCUGGAAGAGGUCUGUAUGGCCAGCAUCACAUAGUGGAGAGGGACAUUUUGGUGAGAAGGGGUUGGAGAGGUUGACAAAAGGCUGUUCAAAUGGCUUUGCGUGCUAUUAAGGAAAUGGAAUUUUCUGUUUAAAAAGUGGAAAGUAAUCCAAUCUGAUCUGUAUUGAUUACAGAUUGUGUAUUGAAAAGUUGGAAAACAGCUGGAUUUGACCUAGAGGCUGCCACAUGGCAGAUGAGUAAUGAGGACAGCUCUCCUUUGCUCACAACAUUGAAUCUUCACUUUUCUAAGCCUGUGCAAUUCUUGAGUAGAAACAGAGAAGAAAAAAAGAUUGGAAAAGGUGAGGGUAAAAGCAGGAAGACCAAUUAGGAAAUUCCUGUCCAAAUCCAUGAUAGCAAUGUUGACAGUGGAGUAUUCAGAGACAGACACAGAAAGGCUUCAGUCAUACUCAGAAGACUGGUUUGCUAAGUCACAGAUCAGGGAGGGAAA